Nylanderia fulva is the source of this 2299-nucleotide non-coding RNA. The record is from RefSeq and is a predicted model, not a curated record. Lineage: Eukaryota; Metazoa; Arthropoda; Insecta; Hymenoptera; Formicidae.
GGAACGGGCCGGGUAGCCGGAGCAGUCACCUUCGUCCGUUCCGCCAUUUUCGGCCCGUGCGGCCCAGGAUGACACGCGCGCAACACUUGUCUUCUCUUGUCUCUCUCUCUCUCUCUCUCGACGCUUCGCCACCGCGUCUCGCGGCUCGCAGACGACGACUAUCUCAUCGAUGAUGACCGCGACUUGCCGUGGCUGCGGGGCUGGGAAUGGAUGGACGACGAUCGGCGACGGAGAUUAUUCCGGUCCGCCCGUGGCGCCGUCACACGCCCGGAUAUAUCUCAUAUCUGCUUCGGAGGGUGGACUCGAGCCGAGUUCAUUCACGGACGCGCAGCGCCAUCUCUCGGCGAUUUCCGAAACUACUCAUUCCAAUUCCUUUUUUCAUGCCGGAGACCUCUCGCGGUGGAAGCGCGAACUUGCGUUUUUCGUCAGAAUCGCCAACUUCGAAAUAUGGAAAUGGAAUUCUUUCUGCAUAGGGAUUUUUUUAGGGAGAGACGGAAUAGAUUGGGAAUGAGGAAUUUUCAAACUUGAAAAAUAAUGAGAGGAAUAUACGGCAGAUACGAUGUUUAAUUAUGUUGAAUCGGUUGUUCGAAAUAAUUAAACGCGCGAGGAUUGAUCAUGGUUAAUUAUAAUAACUGUAGAAUAAUUGUAUUUUGCGCGAUAUUAUGAUAAUAUGAGGCGCGAACACUCUGACCUUCUCGCUCGAGUCUACUGCGUAUGAGUGACGUAAGCGCUGUGGAAUGUGCUGCGCAGAGCUACAGCUCUCCCUCUACUACUUCCCCCACCAUAUCACUUCCCCCACUCUAUCACUCCCUCUCUUCCACUUCCAUCAUUUUCCCACUGCGCGCGCGCGCGAUCACACCUACAUUAUUUAGGAUGCGACGAGAUCGGCCAGUCACAGUCGAGGACAGUUUAUGAUUACGACACGGCCAUCUCAAUCACAUGUGAACGCUGCCUACGAUUACGGUGUAUCGGUCGGCCAAUCACAGCGCGAGUUUACAAUCUCGAGAUAUUCAAACGCGAAGUUUCUCAAUUGCGCGCCCAAACGAAUCUUCGGAUUCCCGGUCGUGUCGGUGCUCCGAGGACAAAAGCGUAAAAUUGAAGAAGAUGAUGAUGAGCAGUCGCAUGAUGAAGUCGCGACUUUGAGGAGAUGGUUUCAAAGAUCGAGAUUGCGAAUCUAAAUUCGCAUUUCCUGAUAACCUUGUCUUUAGUAGGAAUAUAUAACGUCGCUUUACAAUACGUACGUGGUUUAUGUUGGAUCUUGUAAUAUUAUUAUCAAGGUUGCUCAUCGUGGAGAUGGUAUUUCCCUUAUCGCUAUGCAUCGUUUGCAAGCGAUUUUAUUAACAUCGGUGGUCUCUAUAGAAUUCGAGAAAGAUACUAAUACCAUUUGUCCAUUAAAACAAUUGAUGGGUGUAUUUCCUGCUGGUAGUAAAAAACAUUUAUCUGUACCAUGGGUCAAAUUAAUGAUCGAUCCAAAUCUCAUAUUAUCGACUUUUAUCCAGAAGAUUUUAAUGUUGACUUAAAUGGAAAGAAAUUUGUAUGGUAGGGCAUAGCUCUGCUUCCAUUUGUUGAUAAAAAAAAAUUAUUUAAAGCUUUGGCGCCACAUUAUGAUAGCUUAAUGGAAGCAGAAAGGUUUUUUGACAGACAGUGGCGAUGUUAGUUUGGAUUGUGUACAAUUAAUAAUGUCAGACCUUGGUGAUGUAGAAGAUGAGAUCUUCAAAAAGAGGCUCUUGGACAGGCAGUAAACCUGUAGAAAAUGCAUGUUACGAGGCUUAUUAAAUGCACAUACAGGAUGUAGGAAUUACAAUACGAAUGCUGCUGACAGUACAAAUGCCUUAGAGAACAUGUUAAUACCUGAGUGACUUUGCGCGAUUGUCGUUGAUUAUUGUGAUGCGCAUGCGCAAUUGGAGAUCUCGCAAGGGAGCAUCUCUAUACACUUCCGCUCUAUGACGCCAUCGGUGGUUCGACGCGGCGUCUCCAGGUGGCGCUGCGUGAUUAAUUGAUCGUCCAGUAUCAUGUCAGCUUCCGCUCUGCUUAGUGUUUUCAAAGACCCAAAUAAGUAUAUUGUCGCCGCGACGCGUAGAUGAGCGUUGUAUUAUUGUCCCGCGAUUUUAUCGCAUCGAUUGCGCGUAGUCCUCCGCCCCAGGAAGUGCCUGCUAAACUUGUGAAUGUAUGUGAGAGUAGUGUGUUUUGAACGAAAUUAUUUCGCGUUCCAGUAUCUUACGUUCCCUUCGUCGUCUUGGUGCCCGCCCGCGUUGUUUCCUCUCGAGGAUCAAUCAUCACUUGUGACGAAAAAGGCGAC